This 501-nucleotide ribosomal RNA is filed under the name uncultured bacterium. RNAcentral's name for it is "partial 16S ribosomal RNA". It matches the Rfam family "Bacterial small subunit ribosomal RNA", at positions 30 to 523 of the family's 1533-position model. The record is from RNAcentral.
AUUGAACGCUGGCGGCAUGCUUUACACAUGCAAGUCGAACGGCAGCGCGGGGGCAACCCUGGCGGCGAGUGGCGAACGGGUGAGUAAUGCAUCGGAACGUAUCCUGUAAUGGGGGAUAACUAAUCGAAAGAUUAGCUAAUACCGCAUACGCUCGGGAGAGGAAAAUGGGGGAUCGCAAGACCUCACGUUAUAGGAGCGGCCGAUGUCUGAUUAGCUAGUUGGUGAGGUAAAGGCUCACCAAGGCGACGAUCAGUAGCUGGUCUUAGAGGAUGAUCCGCCACACUGGGACUGAGACACGGCCCAGACUCCUACGGGAGGCAGCAGUGGGGAAUUUUGGACAAUGGGGGCAACCCUGAUCCAGCCAUGCCGCGUGCGGGAAGAAGGCCUUCGGGUUGUAAACCGCUUUAGUCUAGGAAAAAGGAAUGCAGGAUUAAUACCCUUGUGUUUUGAUGGUACUGGAAGAAUAAGCACCGGCUAACUACGUGCCAGCCGCCGCAGUAA